UCCAGACUCCUACGGGAGGCAGCAGUGGGGAAUAUUGCACAAUGGGGGAAACCCUGAUGCAGCAACGCCGCGUGAGUGAAGAAGUCAUUCGUGAUGUAAAGCUCUAUCAGCAGGGAAGAAAAUGACGGUACCUGAGUAAGAAGCCCCGGCUAACUACGUGCCAGCAGCCGCGGUAAUACGUAGGGGGCAAGCGUUAUCCGGAUUUACUGGGUGUAAAGGGCGUGUAGGCGGGAGUGCAAGUCAGAUGUGAAAACUAUGGGCUCAACCCAUAGCCCGCAUUUGAAACUGUACUUCUUGAGUGCUGGAGAGGCAAUCGGAAUUCCGUGUGUAGCGGUGAAAUGCGUAGAUAUACGGAGGAACACCAGUGGCGAAGGCGGAUUGCUGGACAGUAACUGACGUUGAGGCUCGAAAGCGUGGGGAGCAAACAGGAUUAGAUACCCGAGUAA
This 446-nucleotide ribosomal RNA is filed under the name uncultured bacterium. Its description in RNAcentral is "partial 16S ribosomal RNA". It matches the Rfam family "Bacterial small subunit ribosomal RNA", at positions 330 to 793 of the family's 1533-position model. The record is from RNAcentral.